RNAcentral lists this ribosomal RNA (110 nucleotides) under Lepeophtheirus salmonis (salmon louse). RNAcentral's name for it is "5.8S ribosomal RNA (partial)". It matches the Rfam family "5.8S ribosomal RNA", at positions 2 to 113 of the family's 154-position model. From Rfam's summary of the family: 5.8S ribosomal RNA (5.8S rRNA) is a component of the large subunit of the eukaryotic ribosome. It is transcribed by RNA polymerase I as part of the 45S precursor that also contains 18S and 28S rRNA. Functionally, it is thought that 5.8S rRNA may be involved in ribosome translocation. The record is from RNAcentral. Lineage: Eukaryota; Metazoa; Arthropoda; Copepoda; Siphonostomatoida; Caligidae.
ACGCUAUGCAGUGGAUCACUUGGCUCGGGGGUCAAUGAAGAUUGCAGCUAGCUACGAGUCGGAAUGUGAACUGCAGGACACAUGAACAUCGACAUAUUGAAAUCAUAUUG